GGCGCUAUGGCUCAGUUGGUAGAGCAUCUUGUGAUUGAUUCACAGGAGGUCCUGGGUUCGAUUCCCAGUGGUGCCA
Molecule: transfer RNA, 76 nt
Rfam family: tRNA
About the family: Transfer RNA (tRNA) molecules are approximately 80 nucleotides in length. Their secondary structure includes four short double-helical elements and three loops (D, anti-codon, and T loops).
Source: Rfam